Molecule: transfer RNA, 77 nt
Filed under: Chrysemys picta bellii (western painted turtle)
Lineage: Eukaryota; Metazoa; Chordata; Testudines; Emydidae
Description: tRNA-Leu (TAA) (tRNA-Leu-TAA-13-1)
Rfam family: tRNA
About the family: Transfer RNA (tRNA) molecules are approximately 80 nucleotides in length.
Source: Rfam by way of RNAcentral
ACCAGAAUGGCCAAGUGGUUAAGGUGUUGGACUUAAGAUCCCAUGGACAUGCAUGGGUUCAAACCCCACUUCUGGUA